RNAcentral lists this ribosomal RNA (800 nucleotides) under uncultured Clostridium sp. RNAcentral's name for it is "bacterial SSU rRNA". It matches the Rfam family "Bacterial small subunit ribosomal RNA", at positions 8 to 833 of the family's 1533-position model. The record is from RNAcentral. Lineage: Bacteria; Bacillati; Bacillota; Clostridia; Eubacteriales; Clostridiaceae.
AGAGUUUGAUCCUGGCUCAGGACGAACGCUGGCGGCGUGCCUAACACAUGCAAGUCGAGCGAGGAACUUCGGUUCCUAGCGGCGGACGGGUGAGUAACACGUGGGUAACCUGCCUUGUAGAGGGGGAUAGCCUUCCGAAAGGAAGAUUAAUACCGCAUAACAUUGUUUCUUCGCAUGAAGAGACAAUCAAAGGAGCAAUCCGCUACAAGAUGGACCCGCGGCGCAUUAGCUAGUUGGUGAGGUAACGGCUCACCAAGGCGACGAUGCGUAGCCGGCCUGAGAGGGUGAACGGCCACAUUGGAACUGAGACACGGUCCAGACUCCUACGGGAGGCAGCAGUGGGGAAUAUUGCACAAUGGGCGAAAGCCUGAUGCAGCAACGCCGCGUGAGUGAUGAAGGCCUUCGGGUUGUAAAGCUCUGUCUUUUGGGACGAUAAUGACGGUACCAAAGGAGGAAGCCACGGCUAACUACGUGCCAGCAGCCGCAGUAAUACGUAGGUGGCAAGCGUUGUCCGGAUUUACUGGGCGUAAAGGAUGCGUAGGUGGAUAUUUAAGUGGGAUGUGAAAUACCCGGGCUUAACCUGGGUGCUGCAUUCCAAACUGGAUAUCUAGAGUGCAGGAGAGGUAAGUGGAAUUCCUAGUGUAGCGGUGAAAUGCGUAGAGAUUAGGAAGAACACCAGUGGCGAAGGCGACUUACUGGACUGUAACUGACACUGAGGCAUGAAAGCGUGGGGAGCAAACAGGAUUAGAUACCCUGGUAGUCCACGCCAUAAACUAUGGGUACUAGGUGUGGGAGGUAUC